RNAcentral lists this non-coding RNA (46 nucleotides) under Schistosoma margrebowiei. Lineage: Eukaryota; Metazoa; Platyhelminthes; Trematoda; Strigeidida; Schistosomatidae. The record is from RNAcentral.
AUCUAUCUGACAAGUUCCAAAAUAGGACGAAACGUGAGUCCUGGAU